UAACAAGGAUGGCCUCAGUAACGGCGAGUGAAGCGGUCACAGCUUAAUCGACAAUCCUUCGCCCUCCUGGGCGUUUGGAAUUGUAGUCUUGGCUUCUGAACGGCGCUGGAUGAUGGGUAAUUCGAUGGAAAUCGAGGUCGUAGAGGGUGACAGCCCCGUGUGUCUGUCGUUCCGGCGUCAUGGUUCAGUGGUCCAUCGAGUAGCGUUCCUUGGGACUGGAGCGUGAAGUGGGUGGUGAUAUCCAUCUAAAGCUAAAUAUUGGCGAGAGACCGAUAGCGAACAAGUACCGUGAGGGAAAGAUGAAAAGCACUUUGGAGAGAGAGUUAAACGUAUGCGAAAUCGUUGGAAGCAAGCGAAUCAGUGGGUUUGGGCACGGCUCUGCGUUUUGACCACUCAGGUAGGCGUGUGCGGUCUUAGAUCGCGCCGCCUGCCCGGCCAGCGGUCGAGCGUGGGGCGAGGUUUUGGUGCCUGGCUUCGGCCAGCCUUCUGAUCCGACCCGUCUUGAAACACGGACCAAGGAGUCUAAUAUGUGUGCGAGUGCUCGGGUGUCAAACCCCUGCGCGUAGGUAACCCAACAACGCGUUAGACCUUCGGGUCGCAUCGCGGGUAGUGUGUUUUUCCCUAACAAGAGCACGUAUGUUGG
This 643-nucleotide ribosomal RNA is filed under the name Cycladophora cornuta. RNAcentral describes it as "partial large subunit ribosomal RNA". It matches the Rfam family "Eukaryotic large subunit ribosomal RNA", at positions 66 to 812 of the family's 3401-position model. Lineage: Eukaryota; Polycystinea; Nassellaria; Theoperidae. The record is from RNAcentral.